UAGGGAAUCUUCGGCAAUGGGGGCAACCCUGACUGAGCAACGCCGCGUGAGUGAAGAAGGUUUUCGGAUCGUAAAGCUCUGUUGUAAGUCAAGAACGAGUGUGAGAGUGGAAAGUUCACACUGUGACGGUAGCUUAUCAGAAAGGGACGGCUAACUACGUGCCAGCAGCCGCGGUAAUACGUAGGUCCCGAGCGUUGUCCGGAUUUAUUGGGCGUAAAGCGAGCGCAGGCGGUUUGAUAAGUCUGAAGUUAAAGGCUGUGGCUCAACCAUAGUUCGCUUUGGAAACUGUCAAACUUGAGUGCAGAAGGGGAGAGUGGAAUUCCAUGUGUAGCGGUGAAAUGCGUAGAUAUAUGGAGGAACACCGGUGGCGAAAGCGGCUCUCUGGUCUGUAACUGACGCUGAGGCUCGAAAGCGUGGGGAGCGAACAGGAUUAGAUACCCUGGUAGUCCACGCCGUAAACGAUGAGUGCUAGGUGUUGGAUCCUUUCCGGGAUUCAGUGCCGCAGCUAACGCAUUAAGCACUCCGCCUGGGGAGUACGACCGCAAGGUUG
This 550-nucleotide ribosomal RNA is filed under the name uncultured bacterium. Its description in RNAcentral is "bacterial SSU rRNA". It matches the Rfam family "Bacterial small subunit ribosomal RNA", at positions 355 to 896 of the family's 1533-position model. The record is from RNAcentral.